Molecule: ribosomal RNA, 301 nt
Filed under: uncultured bacterium
Lineage: Bacteria
Description: partial 16S ribosomal RNA
Rfam family: Bacterial small subunit ribosomal RNA
Source: RNAcentral
CAGUCGCCGCGGUAAUACGUAGGGUGCAAGCGUUAUCCGGAAUUAUCGGGCGUAAAGAGCUCGUAGGCGGUUUGUCGCGUCUGCUGUGAAAACUGGAGGCUCAACCUCCAGCCUGCAGUGGGUACGGGCAGACUAGAGUGCGGUAGGGGAGAUUGGAAUUCCUGGUGUAGCGGUGGAAUGCGCAGAUAUCAGGAGGAACACCGAUGGCGGAGGCAGAUCUCUGGGCCGUAACUGACGCUGAGGAGCGAAAGCGUGGGGAGCGAACAGGAUUAGAUACCCGAGUAGUCCCUGUCUCUUAUAC